Molecule: ribosomal RNA, 1128 nt
Filed under: Salmonella enterica
Lineage: Bacteria; Pseudomonadati; Pseudomonadota; Gammaproteobacteria; Enterobacterales; Enterobacteriaceae
Description: partial 23S ribosomal RNA
Rfam family: Bacterial large subunit ribosomal RNA
Source: RNAcentral
GGGUUGUGAGGUUAAGCGACUAAGCGUACACGGUGGAUGCCCUGGCAGUCAGAGGCGAUGAAGGACGUGCUAAUCUGCGAUAAGCGCCGGUAAGGUGAUAUGAACCGUUAUAACCGGCGAUUUCCGAAUGGGGAAACCCAGUGUGAUUCGUCACACUAUCAUUAACUGAAUCCAUAGGUUAAUGAGGCGAACCGGGGGAACUGAAACAUCUAAGUACCCCGAGGAAAAGAAAUCAACCGAGAUUCCCCCAGUAGCGGCGAGCGAACGGGGAGGAGCCCAGAGCCUGAAUCAGCAUGUGUGUUAGUGGAAGCGUCUGGAAAGGCGCGCGAUACAGGGUGACAGCCCCGUACACAAAAGCGCAUGUGCUGUGAGCUCGAUGAGUAGGGCGGGACACGUGGUAUCCUGUCUGAAUAUGGGGGGACCAUCCUCCAAGGCUAAAUACUCCUGACUGACCGAUAGUGAACCAGUACCGUGAGGGAAAGGCGAAAAGAACCCCGGCGAGGGGAGUGAAAAAGAACCUGAAACCGUGUACGUACAAGCAGUGGGAGCCCCACCACUAAGCCAGUGGUGAACUCCACAUACGCAUCCUUUGCUGAGGAUACGGUUAACGGAGCGAAAGCGACGUUCAACCUCAAAAGAAGCAGAGGGGGCUUAGUGGUGGGGUGACUGCGUACCUUUUGUAUAAUGGGUCAGCGACUUAUAUUCUGUAGCAAGGUUAACCGUAUAGGGGAGCCGGAGGGAAACCGAGUCUUAAUUGGGCGUUAAGUUGCAGGGUAUAGACCCGAAACCCGGUGAUCUAGCCAUGGGCAGGUUGAAGGUUGGGUAACACUAACUGGAGGACCGAACCGACUAAUGUUGAAAAAUUAGCGGAUGACCUGUGGCUGGGGGUGAAAGGCCAAUCAAACCGGGAGAUAGCUGGUUCUCCCCGAAAGCUAUUUAGGUAGCGCCUCGUGAAUUCAUCUUCGGGGGUAGAGCACUGUUUCGGCUAGGGGGUCAUCCCGACUUACCAACCCGAUGCAAACUGCGAAUACCGGAGAAUGUUAUCACGGGAGACACACGGCGGGUGCUAACGUCCGUCGUGAAGAGGGAAACAACCCAGACCGCCAGCUAAGGUCCCAAAGUCAUGGU